Molecule: transfer RNA, 73 nt
Filed under: Chthoniobacter flavus
Lineage: Bacteria; Pseudomonadati; Verrucomicrobiota; Spartobacteria; Chthoniobacterales; Chthoniobacteraceae
Also listed under: 1 other name
Description: tRNA-Thr
Source: RNAcentral
GCCCCGUUGCCUCAGCAGCCACAGGACUCCUCUCGUAAAGGAGUAAUCGUCGGUGCGAGUCCGACACGGGGCU